Molecule: ribosomal RNA, 440 nt
Filed under: uncultured bacterium
Lineage: Bacteria
Description: partial 16S ribosomal RNA
Rfam family: Bacterial small subunit ribosomal RNA
Source: RNAcentral
CCUACGGGAGGCAGCAGUAGGGAAUAUUGCACAAUGGGGGAAACCCUGAUGCAGCAACGCCGCGUGGAUGAUGAAGGCCUUCGGAUUGUAAACCUCUUUUGUCAGAGAAGAUAAUGACGGUACCUGACCAGGAAGCCCCGGCUAACUACGUGCCAGCAGCCGCGGUAAUACGUAGGGGGCUAGCGUUAUCCGGAAGUACUGGGGGUAACGGGUGCGUUGACGGCUCUUCAAGUCUGGAGUGAAAGGCGGGGGCUCAACCCCUGGAUAGCUCUGGAAACUGGGAGGCUGGAGUGCAGGAGAGGAGAGCGGAAUUCCUGGUGUAGCGGUGAAAUGCGUAGAUAUUAGGAGGAACACCAGUGGCGAAGGCGGCUUACUGGACUGUAACUGACGCUGAGGCUCGAAAGCGUGGGGAGCAAACAGGAUUAGAUACCCCAGUAGUC